RNAcentral lists this long non-coding RNA (782 nucleotides) under Brassica rapa (field mustard). Its description in RNAcentral is "long non-coding RNA (BRAP_LNC001510)". The record is from RNAcentral. Lineage: Eukaryota; Viridiplantae; Streptophyta; Magnoliopsida; Brassicales; Brassicaceae.
ACCUAUAAUGUUAUAUAAACUAUAUUUGAAAACUCUCUAAGAUUAUAUUUUAAGCAUAAUAUUACUAUUAUUUAAUUUAAGUUAUUUUAAGCAUAAUAUAUGCUAAACUAACUUAAAUUAUAUUUACAAUAGGACCAUCCUAAACCUGUUAAUAAACCAAAAACAAUACUAAACCAACAUGAACCAAUACCUGAUUCGGCGUGGAAUGAAGUGUUUCGGGAUAAAUGCUUGAAUGGUUAUUAACUGUAAUAGUUUGAUCAUGAAAUAGUUAGUAUGAAUAUUAACAAUAAAAUGAUGGAUUAGAUUAAUUUAAAUUUGUAAGAAUACCUUUGAGUCUAUGAAAAGCAAUUCAAUUCCCAUGAAUAAGUUUGGCUUUUGGAAGUUAUGGGUUUCCCAACAAUGAAUCCACCUAACAAAAAGUUCGUUGUUAUAAAAAAUCUCCUUCAAAGUCAUUAAGGGUUUUUGGGACGGUAAUAGUUGAUGGUAGAACCAUUUUUUUGCUCGAGUGCUUUGAAGUUUUCCUUGAUAGUGUGAGGUUGAUAUUGAUGGAAUAAUGAGUUUUAUAUGGACUUUCUUGACUCCCUCUGUUUCAAAAUACAUGAAGUUUUAGGUUGGGACACAAAUAUUAAAAAACUUGUUUUUUAUCUAAAAAGUAUCACUAAAAUAUAAAUUAAAAAUUAUUUAACCAAUCACAAAACAUACUAGAAAAUAUAAUUGGUUACACAGUUUUUGAUAAAGUUAAAAGAUACCUUGAAAUAUGAAAACAUCAUCUAUUUUGAAAC